RNAcentral lists this long non-coding RNA (3085 nucleotides) under Capsicum annuum. RNAcentral's name for it is "long non-coding RNA (CANN_LNC020444)". Lineage: Eukaryota; Viridiplantae; Streptophyta; Magnoliopsida; Solanales; Solanaceae. The record is from RNAcentral.
CCCUUCUAAAGUCCCUAAACUUAACCAUUUUCAACCAACCAAGUCGCCUAACAAAACCACAAUCCAAAACAUAAUCCUCUUCUAAAGUCCCUAAACUUAACCAUUUUCGAGCAUCUAAGUGUCAAAACAAAACCACAUUCCAAAACAAAAAUUCAUUUUAAAGUCCCUAAACUUAACCAUUUUCAACCAACCAAGUCACCUAACAAAACCACAUUCCAAAACAAAAUCUCCUUCUAAAGUCCCUUAACUAUUUUCGAGCAUCUAAGUGUCAAAACAAAACCACAUUCCAAAACAAAAAUCCCUUCUAAAGUCCACAAACUUAACCAUUUUCGAGCAUUUAAGUGUCAAAAUAAAACCACAUUCCAAAAUAAAAAUCUAUUUUAAAGUCCCUAAACUUAACUAUUUUCGGACAAGUAAGUGUCAAAACAAAACAACAUUCCAAAACAAAAAUCCCUUCUAUAGUCCACAAACUUAACCAUUUUCGAGCAUCUAAGUGUCAAAACAAAACCACAUUCCAAAAUAAAAAUCCAUUUUAAAGUCCCUAAACUUAACCAUUUUCAACCAACCAAGUCACCUAACCAAACCACAUUCCAAAACAAAAAUCACUUCUAAAGUCCGUAAACUUAACCAUUUUCGAGAAUCAAAGUGUCAAAACAAAACCACAUUCAAAAAUAAAAAUCCCUUUUAAAGUCCCUAAACUUAACCAUUUCCAACCAACCAAGUCACCUAACAAAACCACAUUCCAAAAUAAAAAUCUCUUCUAAAGUUCUUAAACUUAACCAUUUUCGAGCAUCUAAGCGUCAAAAUAAAACCACAUUCCAAAACAAAAAUCCCUUUUAAAGUCCCUUAACUUAACCAUUUUCAACCAACCAAGUCACCCAACAAAACCACAUUCCAAAAUAAAAAUCUCCUCUAAAGUCCAUAAACUUAACCAUUUCCGAGCAUCUAAGUGUCAAAACAAAACCACAUUCCAAAACAAAAAUCCCUUCUAAAGUUCACAAAUUGAACCAUUUUCGAGCAUCUAAGUGUCAAAACGAAACAACAUUCCAUAUCAAAAAUCUCUUUUAUAGACCCUAAACCUAACACUUUUUAACCAAGUGUCAAAACAAAACCACAUUCCAAAACAAAAAUCCCUUCUAAAGUCCCUAAACUUAACAAUUUUCAACCAACCAAGUCACCUAACAAAACCACAUUCCAAAACAAAAUACCCUUCAAAAGUCCCUAAACUUAACCAUUUUGGAGCAUCUCUGUGUCAAAACAAAAUUUCAUUACAAAAAAAAAUCCCUUCUAAAGUCCGUAAACUUAACCAUUUUCGAGCAUCUAAGUGUCAAAAUAAAAUCACAUUUCAGAACAAAAAUCUCUUUUAAAGUCUCUAAACCUAACACUUUUUAUCCAAGUGUCAAAACAAAACCACAUUCCAAAACAAAAAUCCCUUCUAAAGUCCCUAAACUUAACCAUUUUCAACCAACCAAGUCACCUAACAAAACCCUAUUCCAAAACAUAAUCCCCUUCUAAAGUCCCUAAACUUAACCAUUUUCGAGCAUCUAAGUGUCAAAACAAAACCACAUUCCAAAACAAAAAAUUAUUUUAAAGUCCCUAAACUUAACCAUUUUCAACCAACCAAGUCACCUAACAAAACCCUAUUCCAAAACAUAAUCCCCUUCUAAAGUCCCUAAACUUAACCAUUUUCGAGCAUCUAAGUGUCAAAACAAAACCACAUUCCAAAAAGAAAUCCCUUCUAAAGUCCGUACACUUAACCAUUAUCGAGCAUCCAAGUGUCAAAACAAAAUCACAUUCCAAAACAAAAAUCUCUUUUAAAGUCCCUAAACCUAACACUUUUUUUCCAAGUAUCAUAACAAAAGCACAUUUCCAAACAAAAAUCCCUUCUAAAGUCCCUAAACUUAACCAUUUUCAACCAACCAAGUCACCAAACAAAACCACAUUCCAAAACAUAAUGCCUUUCUAAAGUCCCUAAACUUAACCAUUUUCGAGCAUCUAAGUGUCAAAAGAAAAUCACAUUCCAAAACAAAAAUCCAUUUUAAAAUUCCUAAACUUAACCAUUUUCUACCAACCAAGUCACCUAACAAAACCACAUUCCAAAACAAAAUCUCCUUCUAAAGUCCCUAAACUUAACCAUUUUCGAGCAUCUAUGUGUCAAAACAAAACCACAUUCUAAAACCAAAAUCCAUUUUAAAGUUCCUAAACUUAACCAUUUUCAACCGACCAAGUCACCUAACAAAAUCACAUUCCAAAACAAAAUCCCCUUCUAAAAUCCCUAAACUUAACCAUUUUCGAGCAUCUAAGUAUCAAAACAAAACCACAUUCCAAAACAAAAAUCCAUUUUAAAAUCCCUAAACUUAACUAUUUUCAACCAACUAAGUCGCCUAACAAAACCACAUUACAAAACAAAAUCCCCUUCUAAAGUCCCUAAACUUAACCAUUUUCAAGCAUCUAAGUGUCAAAACGAAACCACAUUCCGAAAUAAAAAUCCAUUUUAAAGUCCCCUAAACUUAACCAUUUUCAAUCAACCACGUCACCUAACAAAACCACAUUCCAAAACAAAAUCCCCUUCUAAAGUCCCUAAACUUAACCAUUUUCGAGCAUCUAAGUGUCAAAACAAAAUCACAUUCCAAAACAAAAAUCCCUUUUAAAGUCCCUAAACUUAACCAUUUUCAACCAACCAAGUCACCUAAAAAAACCACAUUCCAAAAUAAAAAUCUCUUUUAAAGUUCCUAAACUUAAUCAUUUUUGAGCAUCUAAGUGUCAAAACAAAACCACAUUAUAUUCUAAAACAAAAAUCCCUUAUAAAGUCCCUAAACUUAACCAUUCUCAACCAAUCAAGUCACCUAACAAAACCACAUUCCAAAACAAAAUCUCCUUCUAAAGUCACAUUAAGCAAGUAAAUCGCCGGUGAAGUCACUAGACUUAACCAUUUACGAGUAACUAAUCCGCCAAACAAGUCACAUUCCAAACAAAAAAAUCACUUAUAAAGUCCCUAAACUAAACCAUGUUCAAAUGACAAAGUCGCCAAACAAACUACAUUCUAAAUAAAAAAAUCACGUAUAAAGUCCCUAGACUUAACCAU